ACGCUGGCGGCAGGCUUAACACAUGCAAGUCGAACGGUAACAGGGAUUAGCUUGCUAAUCUGCUGACGAGUGGCGGACGGGUGAGUAAUGCUUGGGAAUCUGGCUUAUGGAGGGGGAUAACUACGGGAAACUGUAGCUAAUACCGCGUAAAAUCUUCGGAUUAAAGGGUGGGACUUUCGAGCCACCUGCCAUAAGAUGAGCCCAAGUGGGAUUAGGUAGUUGGUUAGGUAAAGGCUGACCAAGCCGACGAUCUCUAGCUGGUCUGAGAGGAUGACCAGCCACACUGGAACUGAGACACGGUCCAGACUCCUACGGGAGGCAGCAGUGGGGAAUAUUGCACAAUGGGGGGAACCCUGAUGCAGCCAUGCCGCGUGAAUGAAGAGGGCCUUCGGGUUGUAAAGUUCUUUCGGUGACGAGGAAGGUUGGUAGGUUAAUAGCCUAUCAAAUUGACGUUAAUCACAGAAGAAGCACCGGCUAACUCCGUGCCAGCAGCCGCGGUAAUACGGGGGGUGCGAGCGUUAAUCGGAAUAACUGGGCGUAAAGGGCACGCAGGCGGUGACUUAAGUGAGAUGUGAAAGCCCCGAGCUUAACUUGGGAAUUGCAUUUCAUACUGGGUCGCUAGAGUACUUUAGGGAGGGGUAGAAUUCCACGUGUAGCGGUGAAAUGCGUAGAGAUGUGGAGGAAUACCGAAGGCGAAGGCAGCCCCUUGGGAAUGUACUGACGCUCAUGUGCGAAAGCGUGGGGAGCAAACAGGAUUAGAUACCCUGGUAGUCCACGCUGUAAACGAUGUCGAUUUGGGGAUUGGGCUUUGAGCUUGGUGCCCGUAGCUAACGUGAUAAAUCGACCGCCUGGGGAGUACGGCCGCAAGGUUAAAACUCAAAUGAAUUGACGGGGGCCCGCACAAGCGG
This 908-nucleotide ribosomal RNA is filed under the name uncultured bacterium. Its description in RNAcentral is "bacterial SSU rRNA". It matches the Rfam family "Bacterial small subunit ribosomal RNA", at positions 33 to 932 of the family's 1533-position model. The record is from RNAcentral.